CGGUGGGGCACACGGCUGUCCCACAGAAGGGGCCCGGCUCUGCACGCACAGCGCACGGACCCCUAAUGCCCACCAGCCGCACCCCGGGGUGCUGCCCUUUGCACGCACAGAGCCUGCAGCACCCCGACGUGCGCGUGGCAGCGGCACCCCACGAGUACCAGCAGUACCAGCAGUACCAGCCCGCAGCCGCCACGAGCGGAACCCCCCCACGUAGCCGAGCCCCGCUCCCCACGUGCAAACGUCCCCGUGUGCCCCCGCCCCCACGCUCACGUGCACGUAGAGAGCGGCUGUCGCGGGCCCCGCCGGUUCGGGGCCGGGAUCGGAGGGCUCCGAGGCCGACCUCAGCCCCGCAGCGCAGCCCGGACCCAUCCCGCGUGGCCGCGCCGCCCCGAGCCCCGCACGGAGGCCCCGCACCGCCAUCGCGCAGCGCAGCGCAGCGCACCGCCCCCGUUCCGCCCCGGGCGCCGCGCGAGGUUCCGUUUUCCGGACACCGCCUCGUCUUACUUGAACUGAGCGCGCGGCUGCCGCGCGUUAAUGACUGCAGCCUUUAAUUAAUUACACGUUCGAAUGGCGUCUGACGCGCGGCCUGAGCGACAGCGCGACGGGAAACGGCUCUGCGCGGCCGGGAAGGUCCGGGUCGGGCGUGAGCGGAAAACCUCCGCCCGGAGGCGGUGCGGCCCCGGCCCUGGAGCAGCCCUGGAGCAGCCCCGGAGCCCCGGGAUGGGAGCGCUCCGCCCGCGGCGGGGACGGGAACUGCGUGACCUUUACGGUCCCCUCCGCCCCCGCCCCGCCCCCCCCGCUCCACGAUCCCACGACGUUCCCGAGAUCCCAGCCGAGCCCACGCUGCGCCCCACCGCCACCCCCUGCGCCCAGCGGGGCUCAGCCCGAGGGACGCGCCGGGCGGUGGGAAAGGAGAAGUGGAGAAGUGAGAAAGGUCUGCGACAAAGGGAGGGGAAAGCCGGCACCGCAGAUUCCCGUUCUCAGGCCGACGUCACCCUCUCCUCCCCGGAUCCCACAGCGGGGAGUUUCCCAGCUGGCUGCGAGGCCUAUAAGGUGGGGAUGGGCUGCAGCUGCACAGAUCACGUAUGGGCUCCGUGACCGAUGUGAUGCGGAGAGCUCUGAUGUGCAUUCAUGGUAUUGUGGUGAGUGCCUGCGGAGCGGGGCUGCGGCUGAACGCGAGCAGUGAUCCCAAAGCCAUGAGGUGGCCGUGGGAUGGGAAGGCGUUGGGGCUGCGAUAUGGGUGGGUGCUGCGCCCCGAGGCGGGCAGUGCACGGCUGGCAGCUCGUGUAUGCAGAUGGUGCGGGGCCAGGAAUAGGGCUGAUGGGGUCUGCAUCCCUCUGUGCUGACUGUAACCUCUGCUUGGGGCUUCUCUGCAGUCUGUUUACCCACACAAGGCAGGAUUGAUUUCAUCUUCAUCUCAUAGCAGCCAAGCUCAGGGAUCCCACACCCAGGAAGCACCUACGGACAACAGUCAUCUCACUGGGAGGGUCUGCUUCCAUGGGUAGAUCCCACAGUCCAGCUGGGAGAGCCAAAACUGACCUCACUGACGCUUCAUCGCUCCCCCUUUGCACCACCGCUCCUCACCCAUCAGAGGAUGAGGCUCAGCUGCUUCAGGAGGUGGAAAGAGGUUGGUGAGAGUUGGUUGCAGUGUAACCUGCAGCCCAGCUGGCAUGGGCCACUCGACGGGAGGGGAAAGGAGCUCCGCUCUGCAGCUUCUCGUCGUAGUGUUUCAUGGUUGGGAGGUACCAAACUCCCGUAAAAACGCUGUCCCAGGUUUGCUCUGCUUUACACUUCUCAUGGGACAGAAAGUUUGGUAUUUCUGUACAAUGCUUACUGUCUGUCUUAUCCAAAGCAACAAAAAUAAACACCAUUAAGUCCGUGUUGGCGAAGUUUAUUUGCGGGUCAGAAGGCCCCUUGGGAGGCCUGGGAACAGGGCUAGCAUCUCCAGCCAGCUAUGGGGAGCCACUUCCUACGGAAAGCCUUUCUGCCUAAAGCCUCUGCCCUUCACUUCAAGUUUAUCAGGUGUGCCAUUUCAGUGGGUGAUUUAUAUGCCCUAUGAAUCCCAACAGCACCCAAGCAGAGAAGGCAUUCACCAGGUGAGGCUGUUGUGACCUCAAAUAUUAGUAAAAAUAGGAAAAAUGUGUUUCCAGCAUCUGUUCAGGCCCAGAAAGUCCUCUGAAAUGGCUGUAGGCAAGUUGCUCAAAGAGAAGCAAGACUUGGCAACCUUCAUGAAGUCUCAGAGUAACAGGACAGAGUUCCAGAAGUAAGCAUCUUUUCC
This 2278-nucleotide long non-coding RNA is filed under the name Gallus gallus (chicken). The record is from RNAcentral. Lineage: Eukaryota; Metazoa; Chordata; Aves; Galliformes; Phasianidae.